AAAAAGAAAAAACAUUCAGAUAUCAAGUAACGGGACAAAACUUUUCAACGGCGAUAAACAAAAAAUCACGAUUUAACGGUUAUUUUAACUCCCAUUUUGAUGAUUUUUUACAGCUACACUCCUUAACCCUAUAUGAAUACAAUGAACUAAUUCGAUCGUCAAUUUAAAACAUUUACACAAGUGGAUACCACAAAAGAAAAAGGCAAUGCAAGAACCUCAAAAGAAAAGCAAAAAAUAAAAAAUAAAAAAUAAAAAAAAAUUUGCGCGACGAAGACCUAGGUCGUCGCGCAAAGUGUGUUUUUUUUUCCCCUUUUUCUUAUAGACUAAUUCGAUCAUCGAUUUAAAACAUUUACACAAGUGGAUACCACAAAAUCUUAUGUUAUACUUAAUGAAAGUAUAAAUAAACUCCAAGUGUUAGUGAAUCUAUUGUUUUGAUGGGAUACGCAUUGUAUAAAACUAGUUUAGACGAUCUAAACAUCAAACUUGUUUGUACAUAAUUUGAGAUCGCAUAUGCAGAAAAUCGCAACAAACAAACAUUCAGAGAUGAAGUAACAUGAUAAAAUGUAUCGACGGUUAUAAACGAAAAAUCACGAUUUAACGGUAGUUUUAACUCUGAUUGUGAUGAUUUUUUACAGUUACA
Molecule: long non-coding RNA, 640 nt
Filed under: Malus domestica (apple)
Lineage: Eukaryota; Viridiplantae; Streptophyta; Magnoliopsida; Rosales; Rosaceae
Description: long non-coding RNA (MDOM_LNC008610)
Source: RNAcentral